AGACCCGAAACCCGGUGAUCUAGCCAUGGGCAGGUUGAAGGUUGGGUAACACUAACUGGAGGACCGAACCGACUAAUGUUGAAAAAUUAGCGGAUGACUUGUGGCUGGGGGUGAAAGGCCAAUCAAACCGGGAGAUAGCUGGUUCUCCCCGAAAGCUAUUUAGGUAGCGCCUCGUGAAUUCAUCUCCGGGGGUAGAGCACUGUUUCGGCAAGGGGGUCAUCCCGACUUACCAACCCGAUGCAAACUGCGAAUACCGGAGAAUGUUAUCACGGGAGACACACGGCGGGUGCUAACGUCCGUCGUGAAGAGGGAAACAACCCAGACCGCCAGCUAAGGUCCCAAAGUCAUGGUUAAGUGGGAAACGAUGUGGGAAGGCCCAGACAGCCAGGAUGUUGGCUUAGAAGCAGCCAUCAUUUAAAGAAAGCGUAAUAGCUCACUGGUCGAGUCGGCCUGCGCGGAAGAUGUAACGGGGCUAAACCAUGCACCGAAGCU
RNAcentral lists this ribosomal RNA (492 nucleotides) under Escherichia coli. RNAcentral's name for it is "partial 23S ribosomal RNA". It matches the Rfam family "Bacterial large subunit ribosomal RNA", at positions 711 to 1201 of the family's 2925-position model. RNAcentral also lists the same sequence under 1 other name. The record is from RNAcentral. Lineage: Bacteria; Pseudomonadati; Pseudomonadota; Gammaproteobacteria; Enterobacterales; Enterobacteriaceae.